ACAACAGCUGGAAACGGCUGCUAAUACCGCAUAAGCGCACAGCAUCGCAUGAUGCCGUGUGAAAAACUCCGGUGGUACAGGAUGGGCCCGCGUUGGAUUAGGUAGUUGGUGGGGUAACGGCCUACCAAGCCGACGAUCCAUAGCCGACCUGAGAGGGUGACCGGCCACAUUGGGACUGAGACACGGCCCAAACUCCUACGGGAGGCAGCAGUGGGGAAUAUUGCACAAUGGGGGAAACCCUGAUGCAGCGACGCCGCGUGAGCGAAGAAGUAUUUCGGUAUGUAAAGCUCUAUCAGCAGGGAAGAAAAUGACGGUACCUGACUAAGAAGCCCCGGCUAACUACGUGCCAGCAGCCGCGGUAAUACGUAGGGGGCAAGCGUUAUCCGGAUUUACUGGGUGUAAAGGGAGCGUAGACGGCUUUGCAAGUCUGAUGUGAAAGGCGGGGGCUCAACCCCUGGACUGCAUUGGAAACUGUGAGGCUUGAGUGCCGGAGAGGUAAGCGGAAUUCCUAGUGUAGCGGUGAAAUGCGUAGAUAUUAGGAGGAACACCAGUGGCGAAGGCGGCUUACUGGACGGUAACUGACGUUGAGGCUCGAAAGCGUGGGGAGCAAACAGGAUUAGAUACCCUGGUAGUCCACGCGGU
Molecule: ribosomal RNA, 642 nt
Filed under: uncultured bacterium
Lineage: Bacteria
Description: bacterial SSU rRNA
Rfam family: Bacterial small subunit ribosomal RNA
Source: RNAcentral